GGGCGUAUUACCAAGGCGGAGACUGGUAGCCGGCCUGAGAGGGCGACCGGCCACACUGGGACUGAGACACGGCCCAGACUCCUACGGGAGGCAGCAGUGGGGAAUAUUGCACAAUGGGCGAAAGCCUGAUGCAGCGACGCCGCGUGAGGGAUGACGGCCUUCGGGUUGUAAACCUCUUUCAGCAGGGAAGAAGCGAAAGUGACGGUACCUGCAGAAGAAGCGCCGGCUAACUACGUGCCAGCAGCCGCGGUAAUACGUAGGGCGCAAGCGUUGUCCGGAAUUAUUGGGCGUAAAGAGCUCGUAGGCGGCUUGUCACGUCGGUUGUGAAAGCCCGGGGCUUAACCCCGGGUCUGCAGUCGAUACGGGCAGGCUAGAGUGUGGUAGGGGAGAUCGGAAUUCCUGGUGUAGCGGUGAAAUGCGCAGAUAUCAGGAGGAACACCGGUGGCGAAGGCGGAUCUCUGGGCCAUUACUGACGCUGAGGAGCGAAAGCGUGGGGAGCGAACAGGAUUAGAUACCCUGGUAGUCCACGCCGUAACGGUGGGAACUAGGUGUUGGCGACAUUCCACGUCGUCGGUGCCGCAGCUAACGCAUUAAGUUCCCCGCGGCG
Molecule: ribosomal RNA, 607 nt
Filed under: Streptomyces sp.
Lineage: Bacteria; Bacillati; Actinomycetota; Actinomycetes; Kitasatosporales; Streptomycetaceae
Description: bacterial SSU rRNA
Rfam family: Bacterial small subunit ribosomal RNA
Source: RNAcentral